CCCGACUUCGGUUGGGUGAAAGUGGCAAACGGGUGAGUAACACGUUGGUGACCUGCCCCCUGGCGGGGGAUAACCCUGGGAAACCAGGGCUAAUACCGCAGAUGUUUGAAGCAUUAGAAACUUCAAACUAAAACUACGGUGCCAGGGGAGGGGCCUGCGGGCUAUCAGCUAGUUGGUGGGGUAAAGGCCUACCAAGGCACAGACGGCUAGGGGGCGUGAGAGCGCGACCCCCCACAAGGGAACUGAGACACGGUCCCUACUCCUACGGGAGGCAGCAGUGAGGAAUAUUGCCCAAUGGAGGAAACUCUGAGGCAGCAACGCCGCGUGAACGAUGACGGCCUUCGGGUUGUAAAGUUCUUUUCUCAGGGAAGAUAAUGACGGUACCUGAGGAAUAAGUCCCGGCUAACUACGUGCCAGCAGCCGCGGUAAAACGUAGGGGACAAGCGUUAUCCGGAUUUACUGGGCGUAAAGCGCCCGUAGGCGGCUUGAUAAGUUGGACGUGAAAGCUCCCGGCUUAACUGGGAGAGGCCGUUCAAAACUGCCAAGCUAGAGUGAGGAAGAGGAGAGCAGAAUUCCCGGUGUAGUGGUGGAAUGCGUAGAGAUCGGGAGGAAUGCCAGUGGCGAAAGCGGCUCUCUGGUCCUAAACUGACGCUGAGGGGCGAAAGCGUGGGGAGCGAACGGGAUUAGAUACCCCGGUAGUCCACGCCGUAAACGAUGGAGACUAGGUGUAGGUGGAUAGAACCCCAUCUGUGCCGAAGCCAACGCGUUAAGUCUCCCGCCUGGGGAGUACGGCCGCAAG
This 799-nucleotide ribosomal RNA is filed under the name uncultured Chloroflexota bacterium. RNAcentral's name for it is "bacterial SSU rRNA". It matches the Rfam family "Bacterial small subunit ribosomal RNA", at positions 73 to 892 of the family's 1533-position model. Lineage: Bacteria; Bacillati; Chloroflexota. The record is from RNAcentral.